UAUUAAAGUUGCUGCGGUUAAAAAAGCUCGUAGUUGGAUUUCGGAGUUGUUAUCUGAACCUUCUCGCCCUAAAAAGUGGGGGGGCUAAGGUAGCAGUAGUUUUCAUCAUAGUCCAUCAGGAUACUCUCUUGAUGUGUACUGGGUGUUAACCUCCUUUUUUUCUGGUACUUGCUAUCCAGCAAUGGGGUAGUUUUUGUCCAGAUAGUUUACUUUGAAAAAAUUAGAGUGUUCAAAGCAGGCAUAAUUGGCAUCAUGAAUACAUUAGCAUGGGAUAAUAAAAUAGGAUCUUCACAAUAUAUUUUAUUGGUUUAAAUUGCGUAUGAAGAUAAUGAUUAAUAGGGACAGUUGGGGGUAUUCAUAUUGGGUGGUUAGCGGUGAAAUGCUCGGAUCCAUUCAAGAUGAACUAAAGCGAAGGCAUUUACCAAGGAAUGUUUUCAUUAAUCAAGAAC
This 449-nucleotide ribosomal RNA is filed under the name uncultured eukaryote. RNAcentral's name for it is "partial 18S ribosomal RNA". It matches the Rfam family "Eukaryotic small subunit ribosomal RNA", at positions 602 to 984 of the family's 1831-position model. The record is from RNAcentral.